RNAcentral lists this ribosomal RNA (624 nucleotides) under Triticum aestivum (bread wheat). RNAcentral's name for it is "partial small subunit ribosomal RNA". The record is from RNAcentral. Lineage: Eukaryota; Viridiplantae; Streptophyta; Magnoliopsida; Poales; Poaceae.
AUGGAAGCCACCUACGUCCCUGCAUCCCCGCCUCGCCGUCAACGGCAGAGCCAUGGGGUGGUCAUUCGCUCUAGAGCGAUGGAGCACGCUCGUUUCGUCCUCAAGCAUCAUGCCGUGCUCCUGACGGCCACCGACAGCUCCAACGUCGCCAACCCGAUGCUGGUGGGCCGCAACAUCGAGGCUCUGCUGCGCAUCGGCCCACACCUGCUGCGUGUCACUCGUCACCACCCUGAAGACUUCCUCGUCCACUUCGACGUUCCUGUCGACCGCGACGCUCUCCUGCGCCACAACACCAUCAACGUCGACGGGGUGCCUUUCCGGACCAAGCCUUGGAGGCCGGACGACCACGCUGUUCGCCAGAAAUGGCUACUGCACGUCCGCAUUGUCAUUGAGCGGCUGCCCCUAGACAUGUGGACGCUGGAGGGCGCGGAGGAGGUGCUCGGCCGUUUCUGCAUCAUCGACAGGCUUGACAGCCACACCAUCGAGCGCCGGGACACGCACACCUUCGCCUGCUGGGCGUGGGUGUGGAGCCUCACCGACAUCCCCACUCGGCACUGCCUAUCAUGCUUUGAAGAUGGCACUGGGCGCGUGGUGGAAAUGCAGGGCUUCUCGCAUCAAGGCUAA